Molecule: ribosomal RNA, 253 nt
Filed under: uncultured bacterium
Lineage: Bacteria
Description: partial 16S ribosomal RNA
Rfam family: Bacterial small subunit ribosomal RNA
Source: RNAcentral
UACGGGGGGAGCAAGCGUUGUUCGGAUUUACUGGGCGUAAAGGGCUCGUAGGCGGCCAACUAAGUCAGACGUGAAAUCCCUCGGCUUAACCGGGGAACUGCGUCUGAUACUGGAUGGCUUGAGAUUGGGAGAGGGAUGCGGAAUUCCAGGUGUAGCGGUGAAAUGCGUAGAUAUCUGGAGGAACACCGGUGGCGAAGGCGGCAUCCUGGACCAACACUGACGCUGAGGAGCGAAAGCCAGGGGAGCAAACGGG